This 503-nucleotide ribosomal RNA is filed under the name uncultured bacterium. Its description in RNAcentral is "bacterial SSU rRNA". It matches the Rfam family "Bacterial small subunit ribosomal RNA", at positions 29 to 521 of the family's 1533-position model. The record is from RNAcentral.
AUUGAACGCUGGCGGCGUGCUUAACACAUGCAAGUCGAUCGGUAACAGGUGUAGCAAUACAUGCUGACGAGAGGCGGACGGGUGAGUAAUGCUUGGGAAUCUGCCUAUUAGUGGGGGACGAACCCGGGAAACGUCGGGCUAAUACCGCAUACGCUCUACGGAGGAAAGCCGGGGACCGCAAGGCCUGGCGCUAAUAGAUGAGCCCAAGUCGGAUUAGCUAGUUGGUAGGGUAACGGCCUACCAAGGCGACAAUCCGUAGCUGGUCUGAGAGGACGACCAGCCACACCGGAACUGAGACACGGUCCGGACUCCUACGGGAGGCAGCAGUGGGGAAGUAUUGGACAAUGGGGGCGAACCCUGAUCCAGCGACGCCGCGUGGGUGAAGAAGGCCUGCGGGUUGUAAAGCCCUUUCGGUGGGGAAGAAAAGUCUCGACCUAAUACGUCGGGACCUUGACGUAACCCACUAAAGAAGCACCGGCUAACUCUGUGCCAGCAGCCGCUGU